This 189-nucleotide small RNA is filed under the name Thioclava sp. ES.031. RNAcentral's name for it is "caulobacter sRNA CC2171". The record is from RNAcentral. Lineage: Bacteria; Pseudomonadati; Pseudomonadota; Alphaproteobacteria; Rhodobacterales; Paracoccaceae.
CAACGCAUGAAAGGAGGUGGUCCAGUGUCUAGAGUGAUAGUGGAGAGAGGUGUCGGGACAGUGAGGGGGGCCGUGGCCUGAGGGCAAACCCUAGGGCAAAAAACCCUGACUGGGACGGCUGGUUCCUUCGGACCCUAACCGGACCAUCUCCGUAGAUCUCGGAGGGCCAUCUCGAACAGAGAUGGCCCU